CCUACGGGUGGCAGCAGUAGGGCAUUUUCGGCAAUGGGGGGAACCCUGACCGAGCAACGCCGCGUGAACGAAGAAGUUAUUCGUAAUGUAAAGUUCUUUUAACAGGGAAGAAAGAGAAAUUUGACGGUACCUGAAGAAUAUGCUCCGGCUAACUACGUGCCAGCAGCCGCGGUAAUACGUCGGGAGCGAGCGUUAUCGGGAAUUAUUGGGCGUAAAGGGUGCGUAGAUGGCAUAGUAAGUCUUUUGGAAAAAUGCUGGGCUCAACCCAGUAGGGCAAAUGAUACUGGAAAGCUAGAGUAUUACAGAGGCAAGUGGAACUAGAUGUGUAGCGGUGAAAUGCGUAAAGAU
Molecule: ribosomal RNA, 348 nt
Filed under: uncultured bacterium
Lineage: Bacteria
Description: partial 16S ribosomal RNA
Rfam family: Bacterial small subunit ribosomal RNA
Source: RNAcentral